RNAcentral lists this ribosomal RNA (271 nucleotides) under uncultured Streptococcus sp. Its description in RNAcentral is "partial 16S ribosomal RNA". It matches the Rfam family "Bacterial small subunit ribosomal RNA", at positions 1113 to 1382 of the family's 1533-position model. The record is from RNAcentral. Lineage: Bacteria; Bacillati; Bacillota; Bacilli; Lactobacillales; Streptococcaceae.
AGUUGUCCAUCAUUCAGUUAGGGCGACUCUAGCGAGACUGCCGGUAAUAAACCGGAGGAAGGUGGGGAUGAUGUCAAAUCAUCAUGCCCCUUAUGACCUGGGCUACACACGUGCUACAAUGGUUGGUACAACGAGUUGCGAGUCGGUGACGGCGAGCUAAUCUCUUAAAGCCAAUCUCAGUUCGGAUUGUAGGCUGCAACUCGCCUACAUGAAGUCGGAAUCGCUAGUAAUCGCGGAUCAGCACGCCGCGGUGAAUACGUUCCCGGGCCUU